Molecule: long non-coding RNA, 2607 nt
Organism: Thunnus maccoyii (southern bluefin tuna)
Lineage: Eukaryota; Metazoa; Chordata; Actinopteri; Scombriformes; Scombridae
Exons: 2
Source: RefSeq, a predicted model, not a curated record
UUUUGUGACUAAUUUCAUCAUUCUUUUCAUUUACCUUGGAGUCAACAUUUUAUUUUGCUGUUUUCCUUUUAUUUCAUCCUUAGUUGUGAUGCACCUUGUAGAGUCGUUUUAGAUACGAGCUACUAACAAAUCAUUGAUGACGUUUCUGAGAUAUCACUGCUGAUGGUUUAUGGGUCCAUGUGAUGAGUUAAUAAUAUCAACGGUUUAAACUGCCGCGCGUAAUGACAGCUGUUGAGGGCGUCUACAUCCAUUUAUGGCUAAUUAUGGGUGUGGAAAUGAGGGUUGUGCAUGUGCGCCAUGUUCCUCCAUGACUUGAGAUUUAUAAAACAGAAGGAUAUGUACGCACGGUUUACAAAUCUGACCAGAAUAAUGCGUCUGCAUGUUUCUGUCUUUAUGCAUUUGGCCCCCGGAGUGCUGAGUGCAGUCACUGAGGUUACGUUAACUAGCUGUUUGAUGGUCAUUAAAUCAUUCCAAACUGUAUCCUGCCUACUUGUUUAAACCACAGACAUCUCAUUUCAUGUUUCUAAAUACAAAAGAUUGGUGUUAAAAGGAAACUUUGACGGAGCUGACGGCUUAGUAACAAAAGCAAAGUAAAAAUAAUGAAAAGUUUUGUUGAUAAUGCUAAUUUACUUCUACCUAAGCAGAGUAUUUUCACAGUGUGGUAUUAAUAUUUGCUUUGUUAAUUAGUCAAAAGAUCUGUGUACUUCCCUUUUACCACUGCAAAGAGAAAUGAUUAAAAUAAGGCAAACUGGAGGCUGCAUGAGUUAAAUCAUUAAAUCCACCGCUGGUCCUGGGACGUCUCUCCUCCUCGGCUGUUGGUGCCUCAUUUCCAUACUUAAAGAUAAACCAGGCAGAACAACCACACUUGGGGAAUAACAAGUGUGGUUGGCUGGGCAUGGAGGGAAAAACAACUAAUUUGUUUUCUCAGUACAACUGUUCCCCUCUAACAUUUCCCCUGUAAUGUCAAGUGACUGAUCCAAACUGGAUCCAAGGAAGGAAUCCAAGAAUCCAUAUGUGGUUUUCUUACUUUUACUUGUAAGACCAGAAUGGUCGAGGACCUCUGAUCGGAUCUCUGUUCUCCAGAGGUCAGACUCACUGCACCUCAUUAUGCGUUAUUAGUUUUAUCAUUGAAAUAUUGAUUUCCUUUAUAUUUACAAGCCUUCCUCUGAGGAUCUGGCUUUUCCAGUUCUGGAGAUUCAUCUUAACAUACAUGUCCCUCUGUGAUGUGGCAUCAUUGACAUGCUGACAGUUUCUUCACUUGGUUGUGUAGAGAAGAAAUGAACAUCAGCUGCUUUUAUUCUAUUCUCCUCUUCAGAUCCUGCUGUACCUCAUCUGGCCACUAGAUGUGUUCAUCCAGCUUUACUUUCACUGUUAAUCAUCCGAUGCAACAACCUUUCUACACAGAUGCCUCAUUAGCCUCCCAGUACAGCAGGUUACCUUUGUUAUUUGACUCACUGUUUUUCUAAGAGGGAAGUUUAGAUUCUGAGCUGGUGAUUUUCUGUUUGGUGGCAAACUUGUGGAAAUUGUGGAGGGUCAGUAAACGCCACUGGAACAGGUCAGUCAUGUUUUCAUUUAAAUAUGGUGAUUUGUCAUAAAUGAUAGAGCAUGAAGUUGCUGGUGUAUUUGUAACAUGUCUGACAUUAUUUUUGAUGUUUCUCUUCCUCUCCAUUGAGCCCAUGAAGCAUCUUAUGAAGUUAUCAUGUGAUCUUUGGAAGACCUCUUGUAUGAUACUUCGCAGAUCCUCCGACUUCAACCGGUCCACUCAGGAAACCGGCUUUCAUAGAGGCUUCAACAUCCAACACAGAAGACUUUUGUUCUUGGGAAUCAGAUGUAGUCAUUAGAAACUCACUGCUUUAUUGUUUUACUAUCCCACAGUACGGUAUCUACAGACAAAUGGAAAGAAUAAAUAUAAUCUGUUAACAAAAAAACAACAACAAUUCUGUAACAUUUGCAAUGCAUUGUUGAAUUUGAUUUGAGGAAGUCUGCAAGAUGAAUAACAAGACACUUGACAUAUCGUGUUUCUGUCCAAUAGAAUCUUUUGAUAAUGUCCAUAAUCCCAGCAUUUGCUGUGGCAAUCCAGAUGUUAGUGUGUUUAAAAUAUUCCAACUUUUUUAAGGUAGUUAUACUUGUUUUUGUUUUUUUACCAACGCACACACAUAGACAACAGCUGCGAUUCCAGCGUAAUUAUUUUCAUUCUUGCUGGUAUACUUUGUGUGUACUUGGAGGAUUAAAAAGGAUAUUCAUUCAUAUUCAUAUUAUUCCCUGGUUGACCCUGGAAUGUCUUCCUUGUGAGCUUCGACUUUUGCACGACAUAAACAGAAACCAUGUAGCCAUGAUGCACGCGCAAACACGUAGUUGAAAGCAGGUAUAUCAGCUGGCUAAUUUUGACUAGUGUAUUAUCACCUGCACGUUGGCCAAAAAAAUCUCUCCAAUGUCUGUAAUCUGCACAACAGUGUCUUUGUAUAUGGUGACAAUGUGGUGUUUAUAUGUUUAUAUACUGAUGUCAAAAUGUGAGUUUGACCUUUUGAUUUGUUUUCAUCGCUCUCAUUAUCGGUGAUCAGAUGAAGAAGCCAAAUGUGCAGGAGAAUAAACAAUUUGGAUUAUGUA